CUUGUACUCCCUCCGUCCAAAAAUACUUGCCAUUGAAAUGGAUGUAUCUAGAUGUAUUUUAGUUCUAGACACAUCCAUUUUGAUGACAAGUAAUUCCGGACGGAGGGAGUACUUG
This is a non-coding RNA of Triticum aestivum (bread wheat), 115 nucleotides long. Lineage: Eukaryota; Viridiplantae; Streptophyta; Magnoliopsida; Poales; Poaceae. The record is from Rfam.